ACGCUGGCGGCAUGCCUAACACAUGCAAGUCGAACGGAACUUGUUGAAUGAAGUUUUCGGAUGGAUUUUAGCAAGUUUAGUGGCGGACGGGUGAGUAACGCGUGAGCAACCUGCCUUCAGAGGGGACAACAGUUGGAAACGACUGCUAAUACCGCAUGAUGUGUUUUUCCCGCAUGAGAGAAACACCAAAGAUUUAUCGCACAAAGAUGAGCUCGCGGCUGAUUAGAUAGUUGGCGGGUAACGGCCCACCAAGUCGACGAUCAGUAGCCGGACUGAGAGGUUGAUCGGCCACAUUGGGACUGAGACACGGCCCAGACUCCUACGGGAGGCAGCAGUGGGGGAUAUUGCACAAUGGGGGAAACCCUGAUGCAGCGACGCCGCGUGAGGGAUGAAGGUUUUCGGAUUGUAAACCUCUGUCUUGUGGGACGAUAAUGACGGUACCACAGGAGGAAGCCACGGCUAACUACGUG
Molecule: ribosomal RNA, 470 nt
Filed under: uncultured bacterium
Lineage: Bacteria
Description: bacterial SSU rRNA
Rfam family: Bacterial small subunit ribosomal RNA
Source: RNAcentral